GGCAAAUGAAGAGGUCCAAACUAUACCACUCUGAAGAGUCUUUCUUCCUGAGCCACCCAUAGCUACCUGGAAGCAGAGAUUCCCAAAGGAACUCAGUGCUCACAGAUCCCCUCUCCAGGAAUUUUGCAACCACAGAAGAUUAACUCCUGUCACUGAAGUUAAGAAUUUGACACUGGGAUAAGAAAUCACCUAAACAGACAUUGUCACAAACUAUCAGACCUCCCAUCUAUAUUCCCAAGGGUCCAUUUAUCUUCCCUAAAAGUCAAGUUGACUUGCAGUAAGUGCCCUUUUCUCCUGUCCUUCCCCUAAUAUGGUGUUACAGGAGCCCCAAAUUCUGUUUCCCUGAGUCACGUUUCUCUGUGAGCUAAGUGAACAGGGAGUGAAAUCUCUUUCCCGCUCCACUUGGCUCCGAGGCUCCCAGCACUUUGUACUUCAUCUCCCAAGGCCUCAGAAGAAUCCACUCCGAUGCAAUAACAGGGUUUUAUUUUUAUUGCCCCUCUUGGGCGAGGUUUGAACAACCACUUAUCCUGACAUUUCAUUAGGCUCUUUAGAAUGGUUUAGAUUCUUUACAUAGUCAUGAUCUUUGCAGGGGCCAUUUAAAGUUGUUCUAAGAGCUUAGCAACUUUAACCAAAACAAUAUAAUGCAGCCUGUGGGUGUGUGGGGGGGUGAGAAAGGGGGAACAGGAUAAGGAUACCACAAGGGUGCCACAUGGGCCCUUCUAUAGGACAAAUAGCUGACUCAGGGUGCUCAAAUAAAUAGAACUGUUGGGGAGGAGGUGAGGAAAGAAGGGAGGAAGAGGGGAACUGUUAGAUAGAGGGGGCAAGCCACAUG
RNAcentral lists this long non-coding RNA (832 nucleotides) under Marmota monax (woodchuck). Lineage: Eukaryota; Metazoa; Chordata; Mammalia; Rodentia; Sciuridae. The record is from RNAcentral.